UCUAUUCAUAGCCUUUGGUCAGCUUCUCAUUAGAUCUCAUGAAAAGAAAA
This is a non-coding RNA of Caenorhabditis elegans, 50 nucleotides long. The record is from Ensembl. Lineage: Eukaryota; Metazoa; Nematoda; Chromadorea; Rhabditida; Rhabditidae.